Molecule: ribosomal RNA, 466 nt
Filed under: uncultured bacterium
Lineage: Bacteria
Description: partial 16S ribosomal RNA
Rfam family: Bacterial small subunit ribosomal RNA
Source: RNAcentral
GACGAACGCUGGCGGUGUGCUUAACACAUGCAAGUCGAACGGUAAGGCCCUUUCGGGGGUACACGAGUGGCGAACGGGUGAGUAACACGUGAGUAACCUGCCCUCAUCUCUGGGAUAACAGUCGGAAACGGUUGCUAAUACUGGAUAUGAGCUUGCACGGCAUCUUGUGGGUUGGAAAGAUUUUUUUGGUUGGGGAUGGACUCGCGGCCUAUCAGCUUGUUGGUGAGGUAGUGGCUCACCAAGGCUUCGACGGGUAGCCGGCCUGAGAGGGCGACCGGCCACAUUGGGACUGAGAUACGGCCCAAACUCCUACGGGAGGCAGCAGUGGGGAAUAUUGCACAAUGGACGGAAGUCUGAUGCAGCAACGCCGCGUGCGGGAUGACGGCCUUCGGGUUGUAAACCGCUUUCAAUUGUGACGAAGCUUUUUGUGACGGUAGCAGUAGAAGAAGCACCGGCUAACUACGUG